RNAcentral lists this ribosomal RNA (253 nucleotides) under uncultured bacterium. Its description in RNAcentral is "partial 16S ribosomal RNA". It matches the Rfam family "Bacterial small subunit ribosomal RNA", at positions 524 to 776 of the family's 1533-position model. The record is from RNAcentral.
UACGGGGGGGGCAAGCGUUGUUCGGAAUUACUGGGCGUAAAGGGUGCGUAGGCGGUCCGCUAAGUUGGAUGUGAAAACUCUGGGCUUAACCCAGAGCCUGCAUUCAAAACUGACGGGCUAGAGUUCUGGAGGGGGUAGCGGAAUUCCUGGUGUAGCGGUGAAAUGCGUAGAUAUCAGGAGGAACACCGGCGGCGAAGGCGGGUCUCUGGGCCGUAACUGACGCUGAGGAGCGAAAGCGUGGGGAGCGAACAGG